RNAcentral lists this small RNA (76 nucleotides) under Ruminococcus sp. CAG:177. RNAcentral's name for it is "Gut-1 RNA". It matches the Rfam family "Gut-1 RNA". The record is from Rfam by way of RNAcentral. Lineage: Bacteria; Bacillati; Bacillota; Clostridia; Eubacteriales; Oscillospiraceae.
CAAUGAUAUCCGUUCCUUGCGGAACGGGUGAUAUAUCUUCGAUAUGAUAUCGCACUGUCGUGCGAUGAUAUAUGCC